Molecule: ribosomal RNA, 630 nt
Filed under: uncultured bacterium
Lineage: Bacteria
Description: bacterial SSU rRNA
Rfam family: Bacterial small subunit ribosomal RNA
Source: RNAcentral
AGAGUUUGAUCCUGGCUCAGGACGAACGCUGGCGGCGUGCCUAAUACAUGCAAGUCGAGCGAACCCUUCGGGGUGAGCGGCGGACGGGUGAGUAACACGUGGGCAAUCUGCCUAUCAGACUGGAAUAACACUCGGAAACGGGUGCUAAUGCCGGAUAGUUCAAGGGAAGGCAUCUUCCGUUGAGGAAAGUUGCAAAUGCAACACUGAUAGAGGAGCCGCGGCGCAUUAGCUAGUUGGUGAGGUAACGGCCCACCAAGGCGACGAUGCGUAGCCGACCUGAGAGGGUGACCGGCCACACUGGGACUGAGACACGGCCCAGACUCCUACGGGAGGCAGCAGUAGGGAAUCUUCCGCAAUGGGCGAAAGCCUGACGGAGCAACGCCGCGUGAGCGAAGAAGGCCUUCGGGUUGUAAAGCUCUGUUGCUCGGGGAGAGCGAUAAGGAGAGUGGAAAGCUCCUUAGGAGACGGUACCGAGUGAGGAAGCCCCGGCUAACUACGUGCCAGCAGCCGCGGUAAUACGUAGGGGGCAAGCGUUGUCCGGAAUCACUGGGCGUAAAGCGUGCGUAGGCGGUUGUGUAAGUCUGGAGUGAAAGUCCAAGGCUCAACCUUGGUUUGUCUUUGGAAACUGCA